GACGAACGCUGGCGGCGUGCUUAACACAUGCAAGUCGAACGGAAAGGCCCUGCUUUUGUGGGGUGCUCGAGUGGCGAACGGGUGAGUAACACGUGAGUAACCUGCCCUUGACUUUGGGAUAACUUCAGGAAACUGGGGCUAAUACCGGAUAGGAGCUCCUGCUGCAUGGUGGGGGUUGGAAAGUUUCGGCGGUUGGGGAUGGACUCGCGGCUUAUCAGCUUGUUGGUGGGGUAGUGGCUUACCAAGGCUUUGACGGGUAGCCGGCCUGAGAGGGUGACCGGCCACAUUGGGACUGAGAUACGGCCCAGACUGGUACGGGAGGCAGCAGUGGGGAAUAUUGCACAAUGGGCGGGAGCCUGAUGCAGCAACGCCGCGUGCGGGAUGACGGCCUUCGGGUUGUAAACCGCUUUCGCCUGUGACGAAGCGUGAGUGACGGUAAUGGGUAAAGAAGCACCGGCUAACUACGUG
RNAcentral lists this ribosomal RNA (468 nucleotides) under uncultured bacterium. Its description in RNAcentral is "partial 16S ribosomal RNA". It matches the Rfam family "Bacterial small subunit ribosomal RNA", at positions 28 to 507 of the family's 1533-position model. The record is from RNAcentral.